This 747-nucleotide ribosomal RNA is filed under the name uncultured bacterium. RNAcentral describes it as "bacterial SSU rRNA". It matches the Rfam family "Bacterial small subunit ribosomal RNA", at positions 76 to 846 of the family's 1533-position model. The record is from RNAcentral.
UAGCUUGCUAAUAAUUCUCUAGUGGCGCACGGGUGAGUAACACGUGAGUAACCUGCCCCCAAGAGUGGGAUAGCCCCGGGAAACUGGGAUUAAUACCGCAUAAAAUCGCAAGAUUAAAGCAGCAAUGCGCUUGGGGAUGGGCUCGCGUCCUAUUAGUUAGUUGGUGAGGUAACGGCUCACCAAGGCGAUGACGGGUAGCCGGUCUGAGAGGAUGUCCGGCCACACUGGAACUGAGACACGGUCCAGACACCUACGGGUGGCAGCAGUCGAGAAUCAUUCACAAUGGGGGAAACCCUGAUGGUGCGACGCCGCGUGGGGGAAUGAAGGUCUUCGGAUUGUAAACCCCUGUCAUGUGGGAGCAAAUUAAAAAGAUAGUACCACAAGAGGAAGAGACGGCUAACUCUGUGCCAGCAGCCGCGGUAAUACAGAGGUCUCAAGCGUUGUUCGGAAUCACUGGGCGUAAAGCGUGCGUAGGCGGUUUCGUAAGUCGUGUGUGAAAGGCGGGGGCUCAACCCCCGGACUGCACAUGAUACUGCGAGACUAGAGUAAUGGAGGGGGAACCGGAAUUCUCGGUGUAGCAGUGAAAUGCGUAGAUAUCGAGAGGAACACUCGUGGCGAAGGCGGGUUCCUGGACAUUAACUGACGCUGAGGCACGAAGGCCAGGGGAGCGAAAGGGAUUAGAUACCCCUGUAGUCCUGGCAGUAAACGGUGCACGCUUGGUGUGCGGGGAAUCGACCCCCUGCGUGC